GUAACAAGGUUUCCGUAGGUGAACCUGCGGAAGGAUCAUUACCGAGUGAGGGCCCUCUGGGUCCAACCUCCCACCCGUGUUUAUUUACCUUGUUGCUUCGGCGGGCCCGCCUUAACUGGCCGCCGGGGGGCUUCCGCCCCCGGGCCCGCGCCCGCCGAAGACACCCCCGAACUCUGUCUGAAGAUUGCAGUCUGAGUGAAAAUAUAAAUUAUUUAAAACUUUCAACAACGGAUCUCUUGGUUCCGGCAUCGAUGAAGAACGCAGCGAAAUGCGAUACGUAAUGUGAAUUGCAAAUUCAGUGAAUCAUCGAGUCUUUGAACGCACAUUGCGCCCCCUGGUAUUCCGGGGGGCAUGCCUGUCCGAGCGUCAUUUCUGCCCUCAAGCCCGGCUUGUGUGUUGGGCCCCGUCCCCCGAUCCCGGGGGACAGGCCCGAAAGGCAGCGGCGGCACCGCGUCCGGUCCUCGAGCGUAUGGGGCUUUGUCACCCGCUCUGUAGGCCCGGCCGGCGCCUGCCACCAACCCAAAUUUUUUAUCCAGGUUGACCUCGGAUCAGGUAGGGAUACCCGCUGAACUUAAGCAUAUCAAUAAGCGGAGGAA
Molecule: unclassified non-coding RNA, 596 nt
Filed under: Penicillium vulpinum
Lineage: Eukaryota; Fungi; Ascomycota; Eurotiomycetes; Eurotiales; Aspergillaceae
Description: sequence contains 18S rRNA gene, ITS1, 5.8S rRNA gene, ITS2, 28S rRNA gene
Rfam family: 5.8S ribosomal RNA (bases 217-369)
Source: RNAcentral